UACAGAGGUGGCAAGCGUUGUUCGGAAUUACUGGGCGUAAAGGGCGCGUAGGCGGUCUUGUAAGUCUCGUGUGAAAUCCCUCGGCUUAACUGAGGAACUGCACGGGAUACUGCUUGACUUGAGUUCGGGAGAGGGAAGCGGAAUUCCGGGUGUAGCGGUGAAAUGCGUAGAUAUCGGAAGGAACAUCAGUGGCGAAAGCGACUUCCUGGACCAAUACUGACGCUCAUGUGCGAAAGCGUGGGGAGCAAACAGG
This 253-nucleotide ribosomal RNA is filed under the name uncultured bacterium. RNAcentral's name for it is "partial 16S ribosomal RNA". It matches the Rfam family "Bacterial small subunit ribosomal RNA", at positions 524 to 776 of the family's 1533-position model. The record is from RNAcentral.